GCAUUAGCAGUUCAGUGGUAGAAUCCUCGCCUUCCAUGUGGGAAAAGUGGGUUCGAUUCCCAGCUAAUGCA
This 71-nucleotide transfer RNA is filed under the name Loxodonta africana (African savanna elephant). It matches the Rfam family "tRNA". Rfam says of the family: Transfer RNA (tRNA) molecules are approximately 80 nucleotides in length. Their secondary structure includes four short double-helical elements and three loops (D, anti-codon, and T loops). The record is from Rfam by way of RNAcentral. Lineage: Eukaryota; Metazoa; Chordata; Mammalia; Proboscidea; Elephantidae.